CACACGACUCUCGGCAACGGAUAUCUCGGCUCUCGCAUCGAUGAAGGACGCAGCA
This 55-nucleotide ribosomal RNA is filed under the name Lolium environmental sample. RNAcentral describes it as "partial 5.8S ribosomal RNA". It matches the Rfam family "5.8S ribosomal RNA", at positions 1 to 50 of the family's 154-position model. Rfam says of the family: 5.8S ribosomal RNA (5.8S rRNA) is a component of the large subunit of the eukaryotic ribosome. It is transcribed by RNA polymerase I as part of the 45S precursor that also contains 18S and 28S rRNA. The record is from RNAcentral. Lineage: Eukaryota; Viridiplantae; Streptophyta; Magnoliopsida; Poales; Poaceae.